Molecule: ribosomal RNA, 468 nt
Filed under: uncultured bacterium
Lineage: Bacteria
Description: partial 16S ribosomal RNA
Rfam family: Bacterial small subunit ribosomal RNA
Source: RNAcentral
GACGAACGCUGGCGGCGUGCUUAACACAUGCAAGUCGAACGGAAAGGCCCUGCUUUUGUGGGGUGCUCGAGUGGCGAACGGGUGAGUAACACGUGAGUAACCUGCCCUUGACUUUGGGAUAACUUCAGGAAACUGGGGCUAAUACCGGAUAGGAGCUCCUGCUGCAUGGUGGGGGUUGGAAAGUUUCGGCGGUUGGGGAUGGACUCGCGGCUUAUCAGCUUGUUGGUGGGGUAGUGGCUUACCAAGGCUUUGACGGGUAGCCGGCCUGAGAGGGUGACCGGCCACAUUGGGACUGCGAUACGGCCCAGACUCCUACGGGAGGCAGCAGUGGGGAAUAUUGCACAAUGGGCGGAAGCCUGAUGCAGCAACGCCGCGUUCGUGAUGACGGCCUUCGGGUUGUGAACCGCUUUCGCCUGUGACGAAGCGUGUGUGACGGUAAUGGGUAAAGAAGCACCGGCUAACUACGUG